GAGUUUGAUCCUGGCUCAGAUUGAACGCUGGCGGCAGGCCUAACACAUGCAAGUCGGGCGGUAGAGAGAAGCUUGCUUCUCUUGAGAGCGGCGGACGGGUGAGUAAUGCCUAGGAAUCUGCCUGGUAGUGGGGGGGUAACGCUCGGAAACGGACGCUAAUACCGCAUACGUCCUACGGGAGAAAGCAGGGGACCUUCGGGCCUUGCGCUAUCAGAUGAGCCUAGGUCGGAUUAGCUAGUUGGUGAGGUAAUGGCUCACCAAGGCGACGAUCCGUAACUGGUCUGAGAGGAUGAUCAGUCACACUGGAACUGAGACACGGUCCAGACUCCUACGGGAGGCAGCAGUGGGGAAUAUUGGACAAUGGGCGAAAGCCUGAUCCAGCCAUGCCGCGUGUGUGAAGAAGGUCUUCGGAUUGUAAAGCACUUUAAGUUGGGAGGAAGGGCAGUAAAUUAAUACUUUGCUGUUUGACGUUACCGACAGAAUAAGCACCGGCUAACUCUGUGCCAGCAGCCG
RNAcentral lists this ribosomal RNA (513 nucleotides) under uncultured bacterium. Its description in RNAcentral is "bacterial SSU rRNA". It matches the Rfam family "Bacterial small subunit ribosomal RNA", at positions 9 to 517 of the family's 1533-position model. The record is from RNAcentral.